Long non-coding RNA from Nomascus leucogenys (northern white-cheeked gibbon), 844 nucleotides. RefSeq lists it as uncharacterized. The record is from RefSeq and is a predicted model, not a curated record. Lineage: Eukaryota; Metazoa; Chordata; Mammalia; Primates; Hylobatidae. The transcript is spliced from 3 exons.
GUGGGGAGCAGUCUGCAGGCCUGGGCAGGCGGCUCUGUAAAGGAUGCUCUGUGGUGGUGAGAGAGAGGGUGUGCAGCGGACGUGGCCAUAAAUCACCCUCCUCACGGCAGCCCCACACCCAUGGAUCAGGGCAUGGGCACAGGGCCAUCUCUUUCCAGGAGAAGGGCUGGUGUGGGUGGCCAGAUCCUGACCGUCUCCAGGCCGUAGGACACAGCCAGAAGACAGAGCAGUUCCUCAGUUUACCCACAGCACCAGCCUCACAGUAACAGCCAGCACACAGCACUUAGGCUGCCUGGUGUUCCAGAAGCUUCUGCGGGGGCUCUAUGCUGAGCUCAAGGCACCCCUAAGAGGAGGGCAUUUUGCUGUCCCCACUUUGCCGAGAAGGAACUGGGGCUCGGGGUGGUUUAAGGCGUGAAUGAAUGAAGGAGCAAGCAGUAAGCCCCGACAGCAAGGCCACCACAGCCCUCACCCCACAGGGAAGCCUGAGCAAGGACCCAAGCAGGGGACAAGCAGGCUCACCCCGCCCUUGCGGGACUGACCACGAGGCCCCGUGCGGUGGAACGCGCCAUGACACUUCAGAAGGCUCGUGUAGCUAGCGCCGUAUCGGACAGCGGGGGAGAGAGAAAAUGCACAGUCCAGGGAAUGUGGAGACAGGCCCAGUGCUGGGCAUGGGGGCUGGAAGGAGCAGCCGGGGAACAGGGGUCAGGGCCUGGAGUCCCGCCUUGCAGGUCAGAGGUCAGAGGUCAGGGAAGGCCUGGGUGGGGGUGAAUGAACAGGCCCCCCAGUGAUAUCAGAGGGGCAGGCGGGGAAGGGUCCCAGAAGAGCACCUCGGGGAGUAUGCACA